CAUUAUAACUUUAUUAACAAUUCCAGACAAACUUUUCCAAAUUGAAGUUGUUAAAGGAAGUAAACAUAUUUAAGCACUGUGAUAGAUUAGCCAAGAUUUAAUUUAGUAUUACUAUCAAGUAGAAUACAAAUUAUAUGAAAACUUUGAUUAUAACAAUGUAAUGAGUAAUUUUGCUGACAUGAGGAUUCAAAUAUUAAAUUCCAUGAAGUAAAUAUAUAAUUUAUAAUUUAUUUGGCUUUAUUACUCAUCCAAAUACCUUUCUCAAGACUAAGUAUGUUUCCUAAUUUUUUUUUUCUUUUUAGGGCCUCACCUGCAGCAGGCAGAAGUUCCCAGGCUAGGGAUCAAAUCGGAUCUGUAGACACUGGCCUACACCACAGCCACAGCAACACCAGAUCUGAGCCACAUUUGCGACCUGCACGACAGCUCAUGGGGCAACGCCGGAUCCUUAACCCACCAAGUGAGGCCAGGGAUCAAACUUGCGUCCUCAUGGAACCUACAGAUUCGUUUUCUGCUGAGUCAUGACGGGAACUCCCUAUAUCAUAAUAUUUACAUCUAUUCAUUUUUGCUAUUUUUCUCACCUUUGGUAAUAAAAUUACCAAAGCUUAAUGUGUAAUUUUCCAAGUGUUCUUACUAAAGAAUACUUGUCAAGGUAGAGGGAAGAAUGUAUUUCAUUCAACAGCCUAUAACCAUAAUUUAUAACUUUUUUUACAUAUUUAGUCUUGCUGUGUAUGGCUUAUAUUUGUUAUGUGUUCCAAGUCCUACAAAUAUUAGGUGCAAACCUGGGGUGAGCCUUUGCUUUGAAGGAAGAAGUCCUUUCUAUCUUCACAAAUCUUAUAAAGAAGCCAACUGGGGCAUCAGAGUAUAAUUUCCUAAAAGUUGAAAAUAUAACUUGCAGAAAUAUAAAGUAAGCUCAAAUCAGGAACAUUAGGAAGGGAUGAACCAAAGAUUAAACUGGUUCAAUGGAGUAUAAGAAAGACAAAAAUAUCCAUUAAAGUCAGAGAAAGAAGAAAAAAAUGCUGACAUGACAUUGCUAAAUUAAAUACAAAGCUGUUUGCGAGCCUCCAGGACUACAAAAUGUAACCUUUGGGUUAUCUUUUCUAUCAGACAGAAAUCAUUUGUAUCUCAAGUGGACAAAAAUCAUUUACAAUUUAACACUUUUCUAAAGGUUAACAUCUGACUGCAUAGAGUCUGGAACUUUGUUCAUCUAAAAUCGUCUGUCACCAAAAAGGAGUCCUCUUGGAGAAUUAGAUAAGCCUUGAGCAGCUCUGUGCAUCAUCAGUAAUUUAUGUCCAGGUAAGGAUGUAGAGUCCUCCUUUUGCAUGCCCAGUUUUGGAUACUUUUUCUUAGUAAGCAAAAGCCGGGAAAUUCAGUCUUGACAGGGAUUUCUUUAACUCAAGUGUGGGCCGCGGGCCAGGACUCUGAUGAAUAGAGAUAGACUCAGAAACAUGUCAUGUGGUAAGGGGAAGUUGUCCUCGGCCAGGUGAGACAGGUCUGAAACCAGACCAGGAGGCGCUCUGUGACUGGAAGGCUUCAGGGUUGGGCCUGGACCCGCACACUCCAAAAGCAACCUUGUUGUGUUGUAAUUAUAAUUGAUUCUGUGAGUUUGAAUCCCUUCUCUAUCUCCAGCCUUCAGUAACAUCCAGCCAAGUGGCAGCCUCAUAUUUAACCGUGUCGUGGAAACUUAAAGAGAGGGUCUCUUUUCUGUUUGGGGGAGUCAUUCGCGUUAGGCAUGGAGAAAGAGGGGAGGGGCAGCGUUUUUCCUCAUCUAAAGCCAGAAGAGUGGCGGCAUCAGUGGCUCCAGGGAAGGUAACCAGAAAGAGAGAUUACCUAUCAGUGAAAUGGUUGGUUAUAAAAAAAACAAGGAGGAAGCAUGUCAAUCAAACGUGGUCAGUACCCGAGGGAGGCAAAGAUCGGAUCAUAUGAAAUACCUGGGCAGGUGUGUAUCCGAAAUACUUGGAAAGGAAUCCUGGAAAAGGCUAGCCUUUUCCCUUCGACAAAUGAAGCAGAGUCCAGAUCACCUGUGCUUGUUGAAUUGUAGUACAAUAGUUGCAGGUAUGAACUCUAGAGUUAUAAUGCCUGGGUUCAAGUCCUAAUCCUACCUUUUAAUAGCUAUACGAAUUUGAUAUUACCUAGCUUCUUUUUGUCUCAGUUUCCUUAUCAGUGAAGUAGGUAAAAUGGUGCCCAUUAUAUUGUAUGUUUUUAGAAAUUUUUCUCUUGUCAUAAGCUUUAUUCUUGCCUUCAUUCAUUCACUUUUGAAUUGUAGAAGUGGUAGCCUGUGAACUACAUUUGCCUUUCUUGUUGGAUUCAGAAUUUUGGAAAUAAAGAAUAAGAGAGACGCCAUCUUUCCUUCGCUACGGAGAUGCCUUCAGUAGAAGCGGUAGUGGCUCCCUCGGUGGGGUUUUUUUGGCUCCUGGGUAUCCACUCAGCUGCGAUAAUAGCAGGGACAUAGCCUUCAUCAGAGUAGUGGCCAGACAAAGCUUCAGCCCAGGAAUAGUGUCAGCUUUGGAUCAAAGGAUAAAGCACUGUACCCUUGGGUUCACCAGCUUUUCUAAUAAUUUUUAAACUAAUUCCAUCCAUCAAAUUUCUUUACACUUGAAAUAUCUAGAGCAGUUUCUCUGUUUUUUUUCUGACUGAUGGGCACAGUUAUUAAUAUUUUAUUUAUUAUUUCCAUUGUUAAUAUCAAUAUAGUAUCAACAUUAUUAUUAACGUCAUUUGAAACAUUAUCUACAAACCAAAAAGUCUGACAGUACAAGCUUUUUAACCAACUUUUCUGAACGACUGCUGUAGUCCUUUUUUCUACAGACUUCAUUCUUGACCCAGAAGCAGAUGUAAUGAAUAAUCAAUAGUUACAGGAACUGGUAUAUACGUUCAAUACACCACUGUAGGUUUAUACUUAUCACUGAUCAAUAGCCUAGUGGAUGGAGAGAUGUAUGUCCUUUGGCACCAGUCUAAGAAAGAUCAUAUUACCUUGGAGAAACAGAUUUUGAAUAAUUAGAAAAAUCUGUAAUCAAUAAUAGAGCUCUUAUGUCCGGUAUCAAACAUAUCCAGAAAUAUUGUGUGAUUAACCUUUAAUACAGCUGGAAGGAGAGAACAUGUACCACACAGGUAACUUUCUUUCAUAGCUGAAGAAAAUGAAGUUUAUUUCCAAUAGCUGAACUGCCUUGGUAAGGGAAACUUUGAUCAAUGGAUUAUAGAAUCAUAGAAGGAAUUGUGAAUAUGAGGGCUUAAAACUGGGAAAUAACUGGAAAAAAGUAGUCCAGAAAACAAAAUUGGUAUAGAGGGAAAUGGACUUAAAAUAUUCUAAGAAACCAGCCUGGCUCACCCUUUUCCUUGGUUCUACUGCUUCCCUUACUUUAAGGGUUUAAUUCUGUCUUGAAAUUGUCAUACUGCGCUUUCCUCAUUAUAUUCCUCUGUUAGUCUCUGGGGAAGACCGUUGCUGAAUUUGUCAUCUCUGUACUCUGGUGUUUGCUGGCAAACAAGAGACUCAUUACACAGUUGCGCAACAUAGCUGGCCAUGAACCCUGUUAGCUGGGAAAAUGUCUUUACUUUGAAUGACUCUUUCCAACAGCAUAUUUCAACCUUGGCUAGGUUGAUCUCUUUAUUAAUAACCUAAUUUAUAACUAUAUAACAAGUGACUAAAAGUAAGUAAGAUUGAUAUCCAGGACAGGAUAUAAACCAGCAACAUUGUUACAGUGACACCACUUGAGACGUAGGAUUAGUCUAGACGUGAGACUUUCUGGAAGCUGAAAAAAACAAAAACAAAAAUCAGAGAACAGCUGGAGUAGAAUUUGAAAAAGUAUUGACCAGAGCCAGCAGGGCAAAAGGAAAAUAACAUUGUCUUUGUAACCAGACCACUUGAGCUCAGUCCCAGACUCUUUCACUCUAGGGAUGAAUUCAUAUCCUAUUUAUCAGCCUCUCCUUUUCCCGCUCCCUCUGCUUGUCAUAAACAGACAGCACACAAGCCACACCUACAGUUUAUAUUGGAAGUCAGCCCAUGAUGACCUGCAGGCCAAAUUCAGCUGUCAGAUAAAGUUUUAUUGGAAAGCAGGCACAUCCAUUUGUUUACGUAUUUUCUAUGGCUGCUUUUUCAUGUGAAAGGCAGUUUAGUAGUUGUGAGAGGUGAUAUGGUUGCAAAUCCUAAAAUACAUACUUUUUGGCCCACAGCACAAAAUGUGUGCUAAUUUCUGGCCUUAGAUAAUGGUAGAAGCUCAAGAAUUUUAGUCCCAUUUGUUUAGCUAGAAAAAAAUAUGACAGAACAUCUAGUGCCUAGAUCUUGGUUUCUAAUAAAAGGAACCAGGGCUCCUUGGAGAAAUGUCUGAUACUAGGGCUGAGGCAAGAAAUAUACAGGAUGAGCCUGGAACAUCUUAUGCAGCCACAAAGUAAAGAAAUGCAAAAAAUAAAAAAACUAAACAAAAAUAGGAGGAUAUCGACAGGACACAGGAGACAAAUGAAAGUGCUCUCAAUGCCCAAAGGUGGAAAUUCUGAGUAAAUACAUGCAUACUUGCAUACCUAUAUAUUCUAUUGGAUUAUAGCUCAAAAUCUAGAAUAAAUCUCCAUGAAUCCAUACUAAAACCAAAGGUACCUUGUAAAAGAGAAUUACAGGCCAGUAUCACUGAUGAACAGAGACACAAAAAUUCUCAACAAAAUACUAGCAAACCAAAUCCAAAAUAUUUUCUAGGCAAAGCCAGAGUGAUUCUAAAUGUUCUUUUCUAUUAUAUCAGAGGAAACAAUCAAAGUCACUGAUUUGUGGUUAACUAUAUCCCUAACAAUAAUAAUAAUAAUAUGUCUUGUGAAGGGACUAUCACAGGUCUUCUAAUGAUUGCAUAGCUUCCUUAUCUUCAAACAGAUUGAAAAAGUUAUUUCCCAAGGAUUAAAUCAGGAUCUGUCAUUUUGCUUGUAGCAUCAGAGGCCCAAGGUAUCAGUGGUACUUUAUUCCAACAUGACUUGACAUAGCCCUUGUGAAAUAUCAGUUUCUCUUUCAGUAAGAUUUCAAGUAUGGCUUAAUUUGGCUUAACAACCAUCAUUUUAUAAGUAAGCAUGUUGUCACAGAUUUAAAAUGCUUCAGAUGACAACUUUGGAUUUCUUGGCUUAAAUUUUUAAAGCAUUCAAAGUUUAGCAGUCUCUGCAAUGAACUGUGUCAAUUUUAGAUGUAUUCUUGACAUAAACUUGUCCUUGCAUUUCAGGCUUCACAUUAUAAGCUGCAGGUUUUCAACCUGGGAAAUAGGUAUUUAUUUGGUAAACAUGUUUACAGUGUAGACUAUUUUUUUUCCUUUAAAUGUAGGAAAAACUUGUUUUCUUUCUUAUUUUGCUGAUUCCUUUCCUCCAAAUGUACAAAUGAACUGCCAAUCUAUUGUAUUGCUCACUCUGAUUCCUCAAACAUUGUACCAACUCUUUACUGCUUUGGGGUAGUUUCCAAAAUACAAUACUUGAGUGAAAUAUGUCCCCAGUAGAUUUUACCCUUUAACUGUGUCCUCUAUUUUUUUUUUGUACUGCUAUUAUAUAGAAACUCUGAAUGACUUUAUUAUAUUUCAGAGCAUGACUGUUAUUUCCUGCUAUUUUUGUUUUUUCUACUUGAAAUAGAGCUUAUUUUUCUAGCAUUUUUAGAAUUGAAACCCAUUAGUUACAUAUGCAAAAGCUGCAUAAAUUUUCAAGUAAAAUAUUUUAGCAUAGUAUAUUACCGUGAGAGAGAAAAAAAAAAAAA
RNAcentral lists this long non-coding RNA (5701 nucleotides) under Sus scrofa (pig). RNAcentral describes it as "lncRNA (ENSSSCG00005029354.1)". The record is from RNAcentral. Lineage: Eukaryota; Metazoa; Chordata; Mammalia; Artiodactyla; Suidae.